Cricetulus griseus (Chinese hamster) is the source of this 107-nucleotide small nuclear RNA. The record is from Ensembl. NCBI's taxonomy places the organism in Eukaryota, Metazoa, Chordata, Mammalia, Rodentia, Cricetidae.
AUGCUUGCUUUGGCAGCACAUAUAAUAAAAUUGGAACAAUACAGAGAAGAUUAGCAAGGUCCCUGUGCGAGGAUGACGUGCAAAUUCAUGAAGCAUUCUUUUUUGUU